UACGUAGGGGGCAAGCGUUGUCCGGAUUUAUUGGGCGUAAAGAGUGUGUAGGCGGCUUUACAGGUCCGUUGUGAAAACUCGAGGCUCAACCUCGAGACGCCGGUGGAAACCGUAAAGCUAGAGUCCGGAAGAGGAGAGUGGAAUUCCUGGUGUAGCGGUGAAAUGCGCAGAUAUCAGGAAGAACACCCGUGGCGAAGGCGGCUCUCUGGGACGGUACUGACGCUGAGACGCGAAAGCGUGGGGAGCGAACAGG
This 253-nucleotide ribosomal RNA is filed under the name uncultured bacterium. RNAcentral describes it as "partial 16S ribosomal RNA". It matches the Rfam family "Bacterial small subunit ribosomal RNA", at positions 524 to 776 of the family's 1533-position model. The record is from RNAcentral.